AGUGAACGCUGGCGGUAGGCCUAACACAUGCAAGUCGAACGGCAACACAGUAAGAGCUUGCUCUUACGGGUGGCGAGUGGCGGACGGGUGAGGAAUACAUCGGAAUCUACUUUUUCGUGGGGGAUAACGUAGGGAAACUUACGCUAAUACCGCAUACGACCUACGGGUGAAAGCAGGGGAUCUUCGGACCUUGCGCGAUUGAAUGAGCCGAUGUCGGAUUAGCUAGUUGGCGGGGUAAAGGCCCACCAAGGCGACGAUCCGUAGCUGGUCUGAGAGGAUGAUCAGCCACACUGGAACUGGGACACGGUCCAGACUCCUACGGGAGGCAGCAGUGGGGAAUAUUGGACAAUGGGCGCAAGCCUGAUCCAGCCAUACCGCGUGGGUGAAGAAGGCCUUCGGGUUGUAAAGCCCUUUUGUUGGGAAAGAAAAGCAGCAGGUUAAUACCCCGCUGUUCUGACGGUACCCAAAGAAUAAGCACCGGCUAACUUCGUG
This 492-nucleotide ribosomal RNA is filed under the name uncultured bacterium. RNAcentral's name for it is "partial 16S ribosomal RNA". It matches the Rfam family "Bacterial small subunit ribosomal RNA", at positions 29 to 507 of the family's 1533-position model. The record is from RNAcentral.